Molecule: non-coding RNA, 74 nt
Organism: Podarcis lilfordi (Lilford's wall lizard)
Lineage: Eukaryota; Metazoa; Chordata; Lepidosauria; Squamata; Lacertidae
Source: the annotation of a GenBank genome assembly
CCUUCUCUAGCUCCCUUGGUGAGAGCCUGGUGCUGAUAACGCCAAGGUUGCAGGUUCAAUCCCUGCAUGGGGCA